AGGAUCUGUAGAUGUGCUGAGGCUGGGUUUGAACCAGCCACCUUCUAAUUACAGAUGUGAUGUUCUGGGUCAGGACAUUUUCCACAGCACCGGAGAAAGAAGUCCCGAGAAUCCCUGGAGACACCCGAAAUUUCCUGAGCUGUUUCAGGGGGGAAAGACGCUGCCUGGCCUCCAGGAUGCCAGCUCAUGCUGGGUGGCACAUCCAUAGGUGUCUGCCUCUUUGUGUGAGGAGAAACAGGAGGAGCACUGACUGAGACCACCUCCAACUCAUCCCGAGUGGCACAUCCAUAGGUGUCAUUGAAAAAAGGUUUGCUGGGUCUCCCAGCACAGUCUCAAGAGUGUGGAGGAGAUACCAGGAGACAGACCUUUACGUGAGGAGAGCUGGACAGGGCCGCAGAAGGGCAACCACCCAGCACCAAGACCGAUGUCUGCCUCUUUGUGUGAGGAGAAACAGGAGGAGCACUGACUGAGACCACCUCCAGCUCAUUUGCAUAUUUCUGACCGAAGUGCUGGAAAUAUAUUCUAUUAGGGUGGCAGGAGGAACCAAUGGCCACUAGUGGGACCUGCGCUCACAGCCCUGCACCAUGCAGCUUGAUUGGAAUUCGCCAGAGACCACCUGAACUGGCAAGUUCACCAUUGGCUUGUUUGGUGGGUAAUGGUGAUGGUCUUGGGAGGCAUAUUUUUGGAGGGCAGCACUAACCUCCACGGGCUGUUAGAUACUGGGAUGAAAUCCUUAGACCCACUGCCAGACCAUACGCUGGUGCCAUGGGCCCCGGCUUCCUCUUGGUGCAGCACAAUGCCCAGCCUCAUGUGAUGAGAGUGUGUAGGCACACAAACGCCACUCUCAUAUUUCUCCACAAUUUCCUUCUUCGUUUCGUUAGUGAUUGCUUUCUUUACCUUCUCUUCCUUCCUUAGCUUCUUUGGUGCCAUUUUGAUAGCAAUUAGCGAAAUUAUUUAUAUAAAGCACUGCACUGACCGAAAUGACGCCCACAAACAGGUGUAUCUGGGCUCAGAUUGAUGCUUUCGGGCGCCUCUCGGCUCUUUGUUCACAACCGCACAAGCGGAUACACGUUUUGGCCUCGACUGGCAUUCGGGUCGUAACUCAAGACUUUGGUCAAAACUAAAAUUUUGGUCAUAACCCAAGUUGUUCGUAUGUCAGGCCAGUUAUAACUCAAGGGUCCACUGUACAAACUUUGGCGGAAAAGUAAUUCAGUGGCAUAACAGUAAAGUUUUAAUUGAAAUCACAACUGAAUUCAUAUUCCCUGCUCUAACAGCAUUUACAAAAUGCACAUGUAAUAUUCUACGACACUUUCAUAUCACAUAAAGUCUUGGCACAAAUUAAAGAAUUGCUUUUGUAAAUAUGUGUGCUGUAAACACUGUCCUGCAGAUCAGAAUCAGAAUAACUUUAUUGUCAUUGUAACAAGUACAACGAAAUUAGGUGCAAUCCCCAUGUCGGACAUAAAGAAUUUAUAUAAAUAACAACAUAACAACAUACUUGUGAGAAGACUGUUUAAUUUCAAGCAAGCAGUUUUAUUGUUUUCCCCAAGCUACGAAGAGUUAAAUAGAAUGUUUUACAUGUGUAAUAAAAUGGAGUAGUUAUUGUCGCA
Long non-coding RNA from Paramormyrops kingsleyae, 1607 nucleotides. RefSeq lists it as uncharacterized. NCBI's taxonomy places the organism in Eukaryota, Metazoa, Chordata, Actinopteri, Osteoglossiformes, Mormyridae. The record is from RefSeq and is a predicted model, not a curated record.